CCUUUACUAUAGCUUCGCCUUGGCGUUAGCGACACGUAUGUGUAGGAUAGGUGGGAGGCUAUGAAGCCGGGGCGCCAGCUCUGGUGGAGCCAACCUUGAAAUACCACCCUUGUUGUCGUUGACGUCUAACCUAGGCCCGUUAUCCGGGUCAGGGACAUGGCGUGGCGGGCAGUUUGACUGGGGCGGUCGCCUCCCAAAGUGUAACGGAGGCGCGCGAUGGUGGGCUCAGACCGGUCGGAAAUCGGUCGUCGAGUGCAAUGGCAUAAGCCCGCCUGACUGAGAGACUGACAAGUCGAUCAGAGACGAAAGUCGGCCAUAGUGAUCCGGUGGUUCUGCAUGGAAGGGCCAUCGCUCAACGGAUAAAAGGUA
Molecule: ribosomal RNA, 369 nt
Filed under: uncultured alga
Lineage: Eukaryota
Description: bacterial LSU rRNA
Rfam family: Bacterial large subunit ribosomal RNA
Source: RNAcentral